This 451-nucleotide ribosomal RNA is filed under the name uncultured bacterium. Its description in RNAcentral is "partial 16S ribosomal RNA". It matches the Rfam family "Bacterial small subunit ribosomal RNA", at positions 29 to 523 of the family's 1533-position model. The record is from RNAcentral.
AGCGAACGCUGGCGGCAGGCUUAACACAUGCAAGUCGAGCGGGCGUAGCAAUACGUCAGCGGCAGACGGGUGAGUAACGCGUGGGAACGUACCUUUUGGUUCGGAACAACACAGGGAAACUUGUGCUAAUACCGGAUAAGCCCUUACGGGGAAAGACUUAUCGCCGAAAGAUCGGCCCGCGUCUGAUUAGCUAGUUGGUGAGGUGACGGCUCACCAAGGCGACGAUCAGUAGCUGGUCUGAGAGGAUGAUCAGCCACAUUGGGACUGAGACACGGCCCAAACUCCUACGGGAGGCAGCAGUGGGGAAUAUUGGACAAUGGGCGCAAGCCUGAUCCAGCCAUGCCGCGUGAGUGAUGAAGGCCCUAGGGUUGUAAAGCUCUUUUGUGCGGGAAGAUAAUGACGGUACCGCAAGAAUAAGCCCCGGCUAACUUCGUGCCAGCAGCCGCCGUAA